RNAcentral lists this transfer RNA (74 nucleotides) under Methanobacteriota archaeon. Its description in RNAcentral is "Euryarchaeota archaeon tRNA-Arg". It matches the Rfam family "tRNA". Rfam says of the family: Transfer RNA (tRNA) molecules are approximately 80 nucleotides in length. Their secondary structure includes four short double-helical elements and three loops (D, anti-codon, and T loops). RNAcentral also lists the same sequence under 2 other names. Lineage: Archaea; Methanobacteriati; Methanobacteriota. The record is from RNAcentral.
GGACACGUGGCCCAGCUGGAUAAGGCGGUGGCCUCCUAAGCCACAGAUCGCGGGUUCGAAUCCUGCCGUGUCCG